UAUAAAUUGAUGAUUAAGAGGAGUAAUAUAUUUUAGUUUAAAGAGAGUUAGUGGUAGGUGUAAACUAAUAAUGAAGGUAUAUGAAGGUAGCUUAUGAGUGUUUAUUUGAAAUAAAAGUAGAAUAAAACGUGUUGUGCGCGUUAAGCAUAUAAGAUAAAAUUAAGGUGGUACCGCGAGUUAUAAUCGCCCUUUGG
Molecule: non-coding RNA, 194 nt
Filed under: Clostridium sp.
Lineage: Bacteria; Bacillati; Bacillota; Clostridia; Eubacteriales; Clostridiaceae
Description: T-box sequence
Rfam family: T-box leader
About the family: Uncharged tRNA acts as the effector for transcription antitermination of genes in the T-box leader family. T-boxes are found upstream of many aminoacyl-tRNA synthetase genes and some amino acid biosynthetic genes usually in Gram-positive bacteria. The anticodon of a specific tRNA base pairs to a specifier sequence within the T-box motif, and the NCCA acceptor tail of the tRNA base pairs to a conserved bulge in the T-box antiterminator hairpin.
Source: RNAcentral